AGAGUUUGUAUCUUUUAAAACGCACAUAAAAUGCCUGGAAGUUGCUUUUCCGCUUGAUUUUCUCGGAAUGAUGUAUUUUCCCCAAUGCAGGUGCUGUCAUCUGUCUGAAUUAGCAUUGUCAGGCUCAAACACCCCCAAAGGAAACGCUUUCUGCAGUGACCCAGGCAACUCUGAGGGGCAGUCUGGAACAGAAUGAGAAAAAGCAGUGCCAGAUUU
Molecule: long non-coding RNA, 216 nt
Filed under: Parus major (Great Tit)
Lineage: Eukaryota; Metazoa; Chordata; Aves; Passeriformes; Paridae
Description: lncRNA (ENSPMJG00000007440.1)
Source: RNAcentral